This 497-nucleotide ribosomal RNA is filed under the name uncultured bacterium. Its description in RNAcentral is "partial 16S ribosomal RNA". It matches the Rfam family "Bacterial small subunit ribosomal RNA", at positions 28 to 507 of the family's 1533-position model. The record is from RNAcentral.
GAUGAACGCUGGCGGCGUGCCUAAUACAUGCAAGUCGAGCGAACGGACGAGAAGCUUGCUUCUCUGAUGUUAGCGGCGGACGGGUGAGUAACACGUGGAUAACCUACCUAUAAGACUGGGAUAACUUCGGGAAACCGGAGCUAAUACCGGAUAAUAUUUUGAACCGCAUGGUUCAAAAGUGAAAGACGGUCUUGCUGUCACUUAUAGAUGGAUCCGCGCUGCAUUAGCUAGUUGGUAAGGUAACGGCUUACCAAGGCAACGAUGCAUAGCCGACCUGAGAGGGGGAUCGGCGACACUGGAACUGAGACACGGUCCAGACUCCUACGGGAGGAAGCAGUAGGGAAUCUUCCGCAAUGGGCGAAAGCCUGACGGAGCAACGCCGCGUGAGUGAUGAAGGUCUUCGGAUCGUAAAACUCUGUUAUUAGGGAAGAACAUAUGUGUAAGUAACUGUGCACAUCUUGACGGUACCUAAUCAGAAAGCCACGGCUAACUACGUG